UCCUCAAUGGCUUGAUAGGCCCUGCUACACCAGGGCAACUCUGGCAAAUUCUCUUUUCUUCUCAUGGAAAUGAACCUCUGCCCAGAGGCUGGAAUAAAAGCAAAAAAUAGCUCACGUCUUUCAUUCAAGGACACACCAAGUUAUAGAUUCCCUUCCCUUCACAAACACUUAGCAUCUUCAUGAAGAGUUUACCUUUAACUUCAAAAUCCAAAUAGCUCUUUUGAAUCCAUUGCAGUUUCAUAAUUUAGGCUUUUAUAUGUUUCUUUUUUUUUUUUUUUUUUUUUUGAGACGGAGUUUCACUCUUGUUGCCCAGGCUGGUCUUGAACUCCUGGACUCAAGCAAUCCUCUUGCCUUGGCCUCCCAAAGUGCUGGGAUUAAGGUCAUAAGCCAUCGCGCCCAGCCUUAAAUAAUUUAUCUUUCUCCCUCCUCCCUCUGCCUAAGGUAAUU
RNAcentral lists this long non-coding RNA (447 nucleotides) under Papio anubis (olive baboon). Its description in RNAcentral is "lncRNA (ENSPANG00000050455.1)". The record is from RNAcentral. Lineage: Eukaryota; Metazoa; Chordata; Mammalia; Primates; Cercopithecidae.